CAGCCGCCGCGGUAAUACGAAGGGUGCAAGCGUUACUCGGAAUUACUGGGCGUAAAGCGUGCAUAGGUGGUGGUUUAAGUCCGUUGUGAAAGCCCUGGGCUCAACCUGGGAAUUGCAGUGGAUACUGGGUCACUAGAGUGUGGUAGAGGAUAGUGGAAUUUCCGGUGUAGCAGUGAAAUGCGUAGAGAUCGGAAGGAACAUCUGUGGCGAAGGCGACUAUCUGGGCCAACACUGACACUGAGGCACGAAAGCGUGGGGAGCAAACAGGAUUAGAUACCCGGGUAGUCCCUGUCUCUUAUAC
This 301-nucleotide ribosomal RNA is filed under the name uncultured bacterium. Its description in RNAcentral is "partial 16S ribosomal RNA". It matches the Rfam family "Bacterial small subunit ribosomal RNA", at positions 509 to 807 of the family's 1533-position model. The record is from RNAcentral.